GAUGAAGACGUAGUGAAAUGCGAUACUUGGUGUGAAUUGCAGAAUCCCGUGAACCAUCGAGUCUUUGAACGCAAGUUGCGCCCGAAGCCAUUAGGCCGAGGGCACGCCUGCCUGGGCGUCACACGUCGUUGCCCCCCCAUCUACUCCUUCGGGAUUGCGGGGGGUGGAUGAUGGCCUCCCGUGCGCCUCGCCGCGCGGUUGGCAUAAAUGCCAAGUCCUCGGCGACGCACGCCACGACAAUCGGUGGUUGCGAAACCUCGGUUGCCCGUCGUGUGCGGUCGUCGCGCAUCGAGGGCUCGAAAAAAUUGCCGGGUUCCGGCUCGGCUUUCAACGCGACCCCAGGUCAGGCGGGGUUACCCGCUGAAUUUAAGCAUAUCAAUAAGCGGAGGA
This 390-nucleotide unclassified non-coding RNA is filed under the name soil metagenome. Its description in RNAcentral is "partial contains 5.8S ribosomal RNA, internal transcribed spacer 2, and large subunit ribosomal RNA". The stretch from base 1 to 121 matches the Rfam family "5.8S ribosomal RNA", at positions 35 to 154 of the family's 154-position model. The record is from RNAcentral.